AUGACCGACCUGUACUGCUGCAAUCAGGCCAACAACAUGGCAAGCAGUAUUAGUAGCACCGGUCGUUUUCGACCAACCAGUAUACAUGUUCUCAGGGCAUUCUGGGACUUCUACGAUUCACCUCGCACCGACCCACCCCGCCCGUUGUUUUCAUCUAUGGACUCUGGUAGAGUUCCGGUGGCCACCACUGUGCCUCCUCUUUCUUCUCCAGCCCGCCUUCCCUCGCUCAAGAAGCCCGAGUCUCGUUCCUUCCCCGUGCAUGGAUCCGGCGCUCGACUGCGUGGCCGUCGAGUUGCCCCGGCCCCCCCGCACCGGCCGUGCCGUGCCGUGCGUGCCACGGUGACGCCUCCGCGGAGGCGGAGCCAUGCAUGGGAGGCCAAGGUGACCUCUCCAGCCAGCCAGCCAGCUUUGAAUGUUGGGCUGAUCAAACGUAUCGGAAGUGGCACAACAGUGUCUAUAUGGGAGGAUAAAUGGAUCCCAAAUACAUUGACAAAGGCACCUGUUGCACGUCUUGGCGAUGUACAAAUCAGCUGGGUAGCAAACAUUAUUGAUGAUGAGAAUUGGACUUGGAAGUCUGAAGUUAUAAGACAAUCCUUUAUCCCUCCAGAUGCGGAUGCAAUCCUUAAUAUCCCUUUGAGGACUGGAGGGGGAGAUGAUUUCUAUGCCUGGGCGUCUGAGAGGUCCGGGAUUUAUACUGUAAAAUCAGCGUAUCGCUCUCUAAUGAUUCAGAACGAGCAUAAAGCUCUAGAAGAAGGGACGACUACAGAUACUUCGGAGAUGGAUAAACAGUUGUGGUCUCGGUUAUGGAAACUCAAAGUGCUGCCCAAAGUUCGCGUCUUCUGGUGGCGCGUGAUGCGAGGGAUUCUUCCCGUCGAAAAUUCUGAUAGAGCAAAACUUGUGUCUAUCAUGUGGGCUAUUUGGACUUCACGCAACAACAUCACACAUGACAAAGGAGAGUUUGAUCCUGUUCGGUCCAUGAAGCACAUACAGGAAGCUUUAGCGAUUUUAGAGUUACCUCAAGAUCAUGCUCGGAUCUUGCCUGGUCAUGGUUGGAGGCCGUCGGAUGAUGCGUGGAUAAAAAUCAACGUCGACGGUAGCAUUGCCAUGGAGUCCCGCCGAGGAGGGGUUGGAGGGGUAGCACGUUCUCCGUCUGCUUUCAAGGCUGCAUGGUGUAAGCCAUACUAUGGAAUCACAGACCCUCUUCUGGCUGAAGCGUUGGCUCUUCGAGAUGGCGUAAUUUUCGCAAAGCUUCGAGGUUAUGAUCAAGUCAUCUUGGAGACGGAUAGCCAAGAGGUUGUUAACCUCUGGCACUCGCGCCAUGAUUUUUCAAUGGUGGCGCCGAUUCUUGACGAGAUUGGGGAGCAUGCCAGCUCUUUUAAAUUUUUUCUUAUUCAACAUGUGGUGAGAUCAGCAAAUUUUCCUGCUCACCUUUGUGCGAAGCAACCUAACAUGAUGGAUGUAACAGAUUUGUGUGGGCGCUGCAUGCGUACGGCGGCGUGCACGAUGGACGGGCAUGGAUCCCCACCCAGCGACGCCGUUCGUAUGCGCGUGCAUGUGGAAUGUCCUGCGUGCCGGAUCGGUUAUUGGGCGUUGAUGAUUGCCCUAUCUGCUCCGGUUUUAUGGCCAGCUGAGCUUCUCCUUUUCCAAGCUUCCGGUGUGCGCGUUCACAGUCUGUCUGCUAACCUAACCGGUACCCGGCCGGCCGGUGCGGUGGCGAUGCUUCCCGACGAUGAUGGGAGCUUCGGUUCACCCAAUCAGAAAGUAACUGAUGUGCAGCUAGCUAUAGCUAGCUACCUCGUCCUUGAGCUAAACACGUACCAUACAGUCCGUCCAGACCCCAGACUGUGUUGUAUAAAUCCCUCGUGCCCGUGCCUGCCGGUCCUUGUUUACACUCGGAGCGUCGUCGCCGACGCGGUGAAGCUGCAUUGCUUAACCACAUUGCCCGCCGCCUCCAAGUUAAAUGCCGGACCCAACAGCGCGCGAGUGGCAAAAAGGCCCAAUCGGUGA
This 2007-nucleotide ribosomal RNA is filed under the name Triticum aestivum (bread wheat). RNAcentral describes it as "partial small subunit ribosomal RNA". Lineage: Eukaryota; Viridiplantae; Streptophyta; Magnoliopsida; Poales; Poaceae. The record is from RNAcentral.